AAGAUGAAAAAUCGUAGCAAUUCUUAGCUAUCCUAAUUCAAGUGAAAACGGCCGGUACUUCCUACUCUGCCGCCAUCUUGUUUUGAAGAUAAACAUUGGAUAAUAAUUUAUGCUUAUUUAUUACACCCAGAAAUCCUGGUGUUCUUUGUUUGCAUGUGACGUCACGCUCAUUAGCAUAACCACCCGGCGGCCAUGUCAGAGGCCGUAUAUCCACUUGAUAACAAAGAUUUUAGAAUGAUUAAAUAAUCGAGGAAAAUGUCAGGAAUGAGUGGUUAGUCAAGGGGAUCCAAACUUACAACUAGACACCAAAACAGAUUAGUUUUCUGCGAUCAUUUCAUCAACGGAUGCUGUUAUACCUCCAAUAUUAGAGACGAAGAGAAAAAUACGAAUAUGUCCUAUGAGACUAGACACUAUGGCCUUAAGUGAACAACAAAAUUUGUUGUUUUAGAAAAACACAAAUUGUUUCUAAGUUGUACCCUAGACACAUUGCAAAAACUUAGACUUAUAAAAGCUUCUUUCAAGGUUUCUUUCACCCAUUGCUUACUCUUGAUCAGAUUGUAUGAAGGUAUCCCACGCCCCUUUCAUAAUAUCCUGAACCAGAUGGUUGGGAUGCUUACAACACUGUUCCUUUGUUCUCAUUGUUUUUAUGAGGAGAUGGCUGGUGCAGAACAAAUAUUUCAGCCUUUUAUUGCUCUACUAAAUACCAUUUGUACCUCCAGAUGUCAUUUGCACAAACUAUUUGUGAAUGAAUACCAUCACAAUAUAUAGAAAAACAAAAACAAAAAAUGGAAUGCACUUAAUUUUCUGAAAAAACUGAUUCUUAUCACAUCUACAAUUGUUUUGCACCUUUUGAUCUGGUUUGCACAAACUAUUUUGUAAUUUAAAGUAAAAAAAAUGUAGGAAAAUGUGAUGUAGCUCAAUGCUCCAAUUAAUAAUUCCUAUGUGGUUAUAAUACAUGCCCAUAGACUCUCAGAGAAAUGCUUAUUAAGUACUUCAUCUCCCUCACUUUACUAAUAAAAGCCAACAGUGGUAUUUGACACA
This is a long non-coding RNA of Nematostella vectensis (starlet sea anemone), 1041 nucleotides long. RefSeq lists it as uncharacterized. The transcript is spliced from 2 exons. Lineage: Eukaryota; Metazoa; Cnidaria; Anthozoa; Actiniaria; Edwardsiidae. The record is from RefSeq and is a predicted model, not a curated record.